RNAcentral lists this ribosomal RNA (283 nucleotides) under uncultured bacterium. RNAcentral describes it as "partial 16S ribosomal RNA". It matches the Rfam family "Bacterial small subunit ribosomal RNA", at positions 28 to 309 of the family's 1533-position model. The record is from RNAcentral.
GAUGAACGCUAGCGGCAGGCUUAAUACAUGCAAGUCGAGGGGUAACAUGGUAGCAAUACUGAUGACGACCGGCAAACGGGUGCGGAACACGUACAGAACCUUCCUUUGAGCGGGGGAUAGCCCAUAGAAAUAGUGGAUUAAUACCCACUAGUAAUAUUGUCUGGCAUCAGAUGUUAUUUAAAGAUUUAUCACUUAAAGAUGGCUGUGCGGCUGAUUAGGUAGNGGUUGGGGUAACGGCCCACCAAGCCAGCGAUCAGUAACUGGUGUGAGAGCACGACCAGUC